Molecule: transfer RNA, 78 nt
Filed under: Acidobacteriota bacterium
Lineage: Bacteria; Pseudomonadati; Acidobacteriota
Description: Acidobacteria bacterium tRNA-Ile
Source: RNAcentral
GAGUCAUUGCGCAAUCCUCGGUCACCUGAGCCCCUGAUAAGGGCGAGGUCGGUGGUUCAAGUCCACCGAGGCCCACCA